Molecule: ribosomal RNA, 497 nt
Filed under: uncultured bacterium
Lineage: Bacteria
Description: partial 16S ribosomal RNA
Rfam family: Bacterial small subunit ribosomal RNA
Source: RNAcentral
GACGAACGCUGGCGGCGUGCCUAAUACAUGCAAGUCGAGCGAACGGACGAGAAGCUUGCUUCUCUGAUGUUAGCGGCGGACGGGUGAGUAACACGUGGGUAACCUACCUAUAAGACUGGGAUAACUUCGGGAAACCGGAGCUAAUACCGGAUAACAUUUUGAACCGCAUGGUUCAAAAGUGAAAGACGGUCUUGCUGUCACUUAUAGAUGGAUCCGCGCUGCAUUAGCUAGUUGUUAAGGUAACGGCUUACCAAGGCAACGUUGCAUAGCCGCCCUGAGAGGGGGAUCGGCCACACGGGAAUUGGGACACGGCCCAGACUCCUACGGGAGGCAGCAGAAGGGAAUCUUCCGCAAUGGGCGAAAGCCUGACGGAGCAACGCCGCGUGAGUGAUGAAGUUCUUCGGAUCGUAAAACUUUGUUAUUAGGGAAGAACAUAUGUGGAAGUAACUGUGCACAUCUUGACGGUACCUAAUCAGAAAGCCACGGCUAACUACGUG